GGACAAUACAAACAUGUCAGCAAGAACAUCACUGGCACAAGGUUUUGUGGCUGAGAACCACCAUUACCUGAAUUUGAUUUAAACACACGGCAUGUCAGCAAUGACCUAAGUGGUGCAGUUGGUGCUUCAGAAACACAGAUGGUCAUAAUUGAUGAGCAACCAAGGACCACUGCAAAAGCAGCUGUUGUGCAUACUGUAACAUCACAGGCACUCCAAAAAGGAACAGUUUCAAGAAGGCAACUUGAUGCUGGGCAAAGGACUCAACUGCAACAAAAAGAUGGAAAAGAAAGCAAUAAGACAGGAUUGGUUCACAACAAGAGGAAAGCAUGGUUACCACCAGGAGUUGGAUCCUCUGCAAGUGUAGGUGACACUUAUAGGAAGGCA
Dioscorea cayenensis subsp. rotundata (Guinea yam) is the source of this 384-nucleotide long non-coding RNA. RefSeq lists it as uncharacterized. The record is from RefSeq and is a predicted model, not a curated record. NCBI's taxonomy places the organism in Eukaryota, Viridiplantae, Streptophyta, Magnoliopsida, Dioscoreales, Dioscoreaceae. The transcript is spliced from 4 exons.